RNAcentral lists this ribosomal RNA (446 nucleotides) under soybean endophytic bacterium EN141. Its description in RNAcentral is "bacterial SSU rRNA". It matches the Rfam family "Bacterial small subunit ribosomal RNA", at positions 889 to 1334 of the family's 1533-position model. The record is from RNAcentral. RNAcentral also lists the same sequence under 1 other name.
CAAGGUUAAAACUCAAAUGAAUUGACGGGGGCCCGCACAAGCGGUGGAGCAUGUGGUUUAAUUCGAUGCAACGCGAAGAACCUUACCUGGUCUUGACAUCCAGAGAAUCCUGCAGAGAUGCGGGAGUGCCUUCGGGAACUCUGAGACAGGUGCUGCAUGGCUGUCGUCAGCUCGUGUUGUGAAAUGUUGGGUUAAGUCCCGCAACGAGCGCAACCCUUAUCCUUUGUUGCCAGCACGUCAUGGUGGGAACUCAAAGGAGACUGCCGGUGAUAAACCGGAGGAAGGUGGGGAUGACGUCAAGUCAUCAUGGCCCUUACGACCAGGGCUACACACGUGCUACAAUGGCGCAUACAAAGAGAAGCGACCUCGCGAGAGCAAGCGGACCUCAUAAAGUGCGUCGUAGUCCGGAUUGGAGUCUGCAACUCGACUCCAUGAAGUCGGAAUCG